AGUGAACGCUGGCGGUAGGCCUAACACAUGCAAGUCGAACGGCAGCAUAGUAAGAGCUUGCUCUUACGGGUGGCGAGUGGCGGACGGGUGAGGAAUACAUCGGAAUCUACUUUUUCGUGGGGGAUAACGUAGGGAAACUUACGCUAAUACCGCAUACGACCUACGGGUGAAAGCAGGGGAUCUUCGGACCUUGCGCGAUUGAAUGAGCCGAUGUCGGAUUAGCUAGUUGGCGGGGUAAAGGCCCACCAAGGCGACGAUCCGUAGCUGGUCUGAGAGGAUGAUCAGCCACACUGGAACUGAGACACGGUCCAGACUCCUACGGGAGGCAGCAGUGGGGAAUAUUGGACAAUGGGCGCAAGCCUGAUCCAGCCAUACCGCGUGGGUGAAGAAGGCCUUCGGGUUGUAAAGCCCUUUUGCUGGGAAAGAAAAGCAGCAGGUUAAUACCCCGCUGUUCUGACGGUACCCAAAGAAUAAGCACCGGCUAACUUCGUG
Molecule: ribosomal RNA, 492 nt
Filed under: uncultured bacterium
Lineage: Bacteria
Description: partial 16S ribosomal RNA
Rfam family: Bacterial small subunit ribosomal RNA
Source: RNAcentral